This 472-nucleotide long non-coding RNA is filed under the name Prunus persica (peach). RNAcentral describes it as "long non-coding RNA (PPER_LNC006343)". Lineage: Eukaryota; Viridiplantae; Streptophyta; Magnoliopsida; Rosales; Rosaceae. The record is from RNAcentral.
AUAAAUAAAAAAUAAAUAAAAAGGGAGAGAUGGGUGAAUGCCCAAAAGAGAGAGAGAAGGCAGGUUGCAUGUAUCUGCAACCUGGGGAAGUUCAAACAAAAAAAAGGAAAAAAAAAACCUUGGGAAGUGGGAGAGGGAGGCAGGGAAACGUGAAAGUAAUUGGGAAGUGGAAAAUAUGACUUAAUUACUUAAUAUAAUUUAUUUCUUUUCUAUUUAAUUCAUUUAAUGUUAUUGAUUAUUUUAUUAUUCAUUAUAAGUACUUACGUUACUAAAUUCUCCUUCAAAUUGUUGCUUAAUUACUUAAAUCUUUAUAAUCAUUUUCAUUAUUUGCUAUUUAAUUCUUCCUUGGAUAAAUUUAUUUAUGUUCUUAGUUAAUUUUCAAUCUUCACUAUUAUUUUUUAAGCAUGGUAAAGUGCCUAAUUUUCAUGAAAAAUCAAAUUGGUUUACAUCUUUAACUAUUUUUCAAUUUUUG